Molecule: transfer RNA, 56 nt
Filed under: Leptorhynchoides thecatus
Lineage: Eukaryota; Metazoa; Acanthocephala; Palaeacanthocephala; Echinorhynchida; Rhadinorhynchidae
Description: tRNA-Phe
Source: RNAcentral
UUUACCAUAGCUUAAAGUAAAGUGUAGCUUUGAAGAGGCUAAGAUGUUAGGUAGAG